Ictalurus punctatus (channel catfish) is the source of this 527-nucleotide long non-coding RNA. NCBI's taxonomy places the organism in Eukaryota, Metazoa, Chordata, Actinopteri, Siluriformes, Ictaluridae. The record is from Ensembl.
CUGGAGGAAGUGAGUGUUUUAUAACCCUGUAAUCAGGAGCUGCUGUCAGGAGAAGAAUCCCACUGUGACUCAUCGUUCUUUGCUCCGUCCGGUUCCUCCACCAGCACACAGAACCUGUGAGUGAGGAGGCGAGGUUCUAAUCGAGGGUCACAGGGGCACCUGGAUCCUAUUCCAGGGAGCAUUGGGCACCAGGCAGGGUACACCCUGGACAGGGUGCCAGUCCAUCGCAGGGCACACUCACACACCCAUUCAUACACUACGGACACUUUAGACACGCCAAUCAGCCUACCAUGCAUGUCUUUGGACUCCAGUGGAAACCAGAGUACCCGGAGGAAACCCCCGCAGCACGGGGAGAGCAUGCAAACUCCGCACACGGCCCCAGCGGGACUCGAACCCUGGACUCUGGAGGUGUGAGGCAAACAUGCUAACCACCGAGCCACCGUGCGCCCACAUAAUCUUGAUCCUCAUCUAAAGAUCGACUUUACUCAAAAUGGCAGCCAAGUGGAUUCAACCAAGGGGAAGUGGAG